This 2931-nucleotide ribosomal RNA is filed under the name Escherichia coli. RNAcentral describes it as "23S ribosomal RNA". It matches the Rfam family "Bacterial large subunit ribosomal RNA". The record is from RNAcentral. Lineage: Bacteria; Pseudomonadati; Pseudomonadota; Gammaproteobacteria; Enterobacterales; Enterobacteriaceae.
GGGUUGUGAGGUUAAGCGACUAAGCGUACACGGUGGAUGCCCUGGCAGUCAGAGGCGAUGAAGGACGUGCUAAUCUGCGAUAAGCGUCGGUAAGGUGAUAUGAACCGUUAUAACCGGCGAUUUCCGAAUGGGGAAACCCAGUGUGAUUCGUCACACUAUCAUUAACUGAAUCCAUAGGUUAAUGAGGCGAACCGGGGGAACUGAAACAUCUAAGUACCCCGAGGAAAAGAAAUCAACCGAGAUUCCCCCAGUAGCGGCGAGCGAACGGGGAGCAGCCCAGAGCCUGAAUCAGUAUGUGUGUUAGUGGAAGCGUCUGGAAAGGCGUGCGAUACAGGGUGACAGCCCCGUACACAAAAAUGCACAUACUGUGAGCUCGAUGAGUAGGGCGGGACACGUGGUAUCCUGUCUGAAUAUGGGGGGACCAUCCUCCAAGGCUAAAUACUCCUGACUGACCGAUAGUGAACCAGUACCGUGAGGGAAAGGCGAAAAGAACCCCGGCGAGGGGAGUGAAAAAGAACCUGAAACCGUGUACGUACAAGCAGUGGGAGCACGCUUAGGCGUGUGACUGCGUACCUUUUGUAUAAUGGGUCAGCGACUUAUAUUCUGUAGCAAGGUUAACCGAAUAGGGGAGCCGAAGGGAAACCGAGUCUUAACUGGGCGUUAAGUUGCAGGGUAUAGACCCGAAACCCGGUGAUCUAGCCAUGGGCAGGUUGAAGGUUGGGUAACACUAACUGGAGGACCGAACCGACUAAUGUUGAAAAAUUAGCGGAUGACUUGUGGCUGGGGGUGAAAGGCCAAUCAAACCGGGAGAUAGCUGGUUCUCCCCGAAAGCUAUUUAGGUAGCGCCUCGUGAAUUCAUCUCCGGGGGUAGAGCACUGUUUCGGCAAGGGGGUCAUCCCGACUUACCAACCCGAUGCAAACUGCGAAUACCGGAGAAUGUUAUCACGGGAGACACACGGCGGGUGCUAACGUCCGUCGUGAAGAGGGAAACAACCCAGACCGCCAGCUAAGGUCCCAAAGUCAUGGUUAAGUGGGAAACGAUGUGGGAAGGCCCAGACAGCCAGGAUGUUGGCUUAGAAGCAGCCAUCAUUUAAAGAAAGCGUAAUAGCUCACUGGUCGAGUCGGCCUGCGCGGAAGAUGUAACGGGGCUAAACCAUGCACCGAAGCUGCGGCAGCGACGCUGAUGCGUUGUUGGGUAGGGGAGCGUUCUGUAAGCCUGCGAAGGUGUGCUGUGAGGCAUGCUGGAGGUAUCAGAAGUGCGAAUGCUGACAUAAGUAACGAUAAAGCGGGUGAAAAGCCCGCUCGCCGGAAGACCAAGGGUUCCUGUCCAACGUUAAUCGGGGCAGGGUGAGUCGACCCCUAAGGCGAGGCCGAAAGGCGUAGUCGAUGGGAAACAGGUUAAUAUUCCUGUACUUGGUGUUACUGCGAAGGGGGGACGGAGAAGGCUAUGUUGGCCGGGCGACGGUUGUCCCGGUUUAAGCGUGUAGGCUGGUUUUCCAGGCAAAUCCGGAAAAUCAAGGCUGAGGCGUGAUGACGAGGCACUACGGUGCUGAAGCAACAAAUGCCCUGCUUCCAGGAAAAGCCUCUAAGCAUCAGGUAACAUCAAAUCGUACCCCAAACCGACACAGGUGGUCAGGUAGAGAAUACCAAGGCGCUUGAGAGAACUCGGGUGAAGGAACUAGGCAAAAUGGUGCCGUAACUUCGGGAGAAGGCACGCUGAUAUGUAGGUGAAGCGACUUGCUCGUGGAGCUGAAAUCAGUCGAAGAUACCAGCUGGCUGCAACUGUUUAUUAAAAACACAGCACUGUGCAAACACGAAAGUGGACGUAUACGGUGUGACGCCUGCCCGGUGCCGGAAGGUUAAUUGAUGGGGUCAGCGCAAGCGAAGCUCUUGAUCGAAGCCCCGGUAAACGGCGGCCGUAACUAUAACGGUCCUAAGGUAGCGAAAUUCCUUGUCGGGUAAGUUCCGACCUGCACGAAUGGCGUAAUGAUGGCCAGGCUGUCUCCACCCGAGACUCAGUGAAAUUGAACUCGCUGUGAAGAUGCAGUGUACCCGCGGCAAGACGGAAAGACCCCGUGAACCUUUACUAUAGCUUGACACUGAACAUUGAGCCUUGAUGUGUAGGAUAGGUGGGAGGCUUUGAAGUGUGGACGCCAGUCUGCAUGGAGCCGACCUUGAAAUACCACCCUUUAAUGUUUGAUGUUCUAACGUGGACCCGUAAUCCGGGUUGCGGACAGUGUCUGGUGGGUAGUUUGACUGGGGCGGUCUCCUCCUAAAGAGUAACGGAGGAGCACGAAGGUUGGCUAAUCCUGGUCGGACAUCAGGAGGUUAGUGCAAUGGCAUAAGCCAGCUUGACUGCGAGCGUGACGGCGCGAGCAGGUGCGAAAGCAGGUCAUAGUGAUCCGGUGGUUCUGAAUGGAAGGGCCAUCGCUCAACGGAUAAAAGGUACUCCGGGGAUAACAGGCUGAUACCGCCCAAGAGUUCAUAUCGACGGCGGUGUUUGGCACCUCGAUGUCGGCUCAUCACAUCCUGGGGCUGAAGUAGGUCCCAAGGGUAUGGCUGUUCGCCAUUUAAAGUGGUACGCGAGCUGGGUUUAGAACGUCGUGAGACAGUUCGGUCCCUAUCUGCCGUGGGCGCUGGAGAACUGAGGGGGGCUGCUCCUAGUACGAGAGGACCGGAGUGGACGCAUCACUGGUGUUCGGGUUGUCAUGCCAAUGGCACUGCCCGGUAGCUAAAUGCGGAAGAGAUAAGUGCUGAAAGCAUCUAAGCACGAAACUUGCCCCGAGAUGAGUUCUCCCUGACUCCUUGAGAGUCCUGAAGGAACGUUGAAGACGACGACGUUGAUAGGCCGGGUGUGUAAGCGCAGCGAUGCGUUGAGCUAACCGGUACUAAUGAACCGUGAGGCUUAACCUUACAACGCCGAAGGUGUUU